Molecule: ribosomal RNA, 1689 nt
Filed under: Shigella sonnei
Lineage: Bacteria; Pseudomonadati; Pseudomonadota; Gammaproteobacteria; Enterobacterales; Enterobacteriaceae
Description: partial 23S ribosomal RNA
Rfam family: Bacterial large subunit ribosomal RNA
Source: RNAcentral
AUACCGGAGAAUGUUAUCACGGGAGACACACGGCGGGUGCUAACGUCCGUCGUGAAGAGGGAAACAACCCAGACCGCCAGCUAAGGUCCCAAAGUCAUGGUUAAGUGGGAAACGAUGUGGGAAGGCCCAGACAGCCAGGAUGUUGGCUUAGAAGCAGCCAUCAUUUAAAGAAAGCGUAAUAGCUCACUGGUCGAGUCGGCCUGCGCGGAAGAUGUAACGGGGCUAAACCAUGCACCGAAGCUGCGGCAGCGACGCUUAUGCGUUGUUGGGUAGGGGAGCGUUCUGUAAGCCUGCGAAGGUGUGCUGUGAGGCAUGCUGGAGGUAUCAGAAGUGCGAAUGCUGACAUAAGUAACGAUAAAGCGGGUGAAAAGCCCGCUCGCCGGAAGACCAAGGGUUCCUGUCCAACGUUAAUCGGGGCAGGGUGAGUCGACCCCUAAGGCGAGGCCGAAAGGCGUAGUCGAUGGGAAACAGGUUAAUAUUCCUGUACUUGGUGUUACUGCGAAGGGGGGACGGAGAAGGCUAUGUUGGCCGGGCGACGGUUGUCCCGGUUUAAGCGUGUAGGCUGGUUUUCCAGGCAAAUCCGGAAAAUCAAGGCUGAGGCGUGAUGACGAGGCACUACGGUGCUGAAGCAACAAAUGCCCUGCUUCCAGGAAAAGCCUCUAAGCAUCAGGUAACAUCAAAUCGUACCCCAAACCGACACAGGUGGUCAGGUAGAGAAUACCAAGGCGCUUGAGAGAACUCGGGUGAAGGAACUAGGCAAAAUGGUGCCGUAACUUCGGGAGAAGGCACGCUGAUAUGUAGGUGAAGUCCCUUGCGGAUGGAGCUGAAAUCAGUCGAAGAUACCAGCUGGCUGCAACUGUUUAUUAAAAACACAGCACUGUGCAAACACGAAAGUGGACGUAUACGGUGUGACGCCUGCCCGGUGCCGGAAGGUUAAUUGAUGGGGUCAGCGCAAGCGAAGCUCUUGAUCGAAGCCCCGGUAAACGGCGGCCGUAACUAUAACGGUCCUAAGGUAGCGAAAUUCCUUGUCGGGUAAGUUCCGACCUGCACGAAUGGCGUAAUGAUGGCCAGGCUGUCUCCACCCGAGACUCAGUGAAAUUGAACUCGCUGUGAAGAUGCAGUGUACCCGCGGCAAGACGGAAAGACCCCGUGAACCUUUACUAUAGCUUGACACUGAACAUUGAGCCUUGAUGUGUAGGAUAGGUGGGAGGCUUUGAAGUGUGGACGCCAGUCUGCAUGGAGCCGGCCUUGAAAUACCACCCUUUAAUGUUUGAUGUUCUAACGUGGACCCGUGAUCCGGGUUGCGGACAGUGUCUGGUGGGUAGUUUGACUGGGGCGGUCUCCUCCUAAAGAGUAACGGAGGAGCACGAAGGUUGGCUAAUCCUGGUCGGACAUCAGGAGGUUAGUGCAAUGGCAUAAGCCAGCUUGACUGCGAGCGUGACGGCGCGAGCAGGUGCGAAAGCAGGUCAUAGUGAUCCGGUGGUUCUGAAUGGAAGGGCCAUCGCUCAACGGAUAAAAGGUACUCCGGGGAUAACAGGCUGAUACCGCCCAAGAGUUCAUAUCGACGGCGGUGUUUGGCACCUCGAUGUCGGCUCAUCACAUCCUGGGGCUGAAGUAGGUCCCAAGGGUAUGGCUGUUCGCCAUUUAAAGUGGUACGCGAGCUGGGUUUAGAACGUCGUGAGACAGUUC